Long non-coding RNA from Anthonomus grandis grandis, 1366 nucleotides. RefSeq lists it as uncharacterized. The transcript is spliced from 2 exons. Lineage: Eukaryota; Metazoa; Arthropoda; Insecta; Coleoptera; Curculionidae. The record is from RefSeq and is a predicted model, not a curated record.
UGUUGUGUUUAUUUGAUUGUUAUAAUAAUUUCAUUGCUAUAAAAGAUAACUAUAAGUUUUGUUUUUGCAUUUUAAUUACAUAUUGGUGUUACUAACAUUAUGGAUCUUUAUAGAUUUUGUUCUUGAAAUGGAAGAAGAGGAACGAAGGCAACAAUUACGGCUAGAAAGAAGGAGAUUACGAGACUCUAUUAAUGUUUUUGAACUACCUGAAAAGGAGUUUAGGAAAUGUUUCCGCCUCAGCAAAGAUUUAGUGUGAAACUUAAUUGCAGAACUAACACCACACAUGGAUUCAGGUCUGAGAAACACUAAACUCUCAAUACCCAAUAGAAUCUUUACUGCAUUAAAAUUUUUUGCGCAAGGCUCCUACCAACGAAGUGAAGGAAAUGAAGCCAAGGUGUCGGAGGCUCAACAAACUGUUAGUAGAACACUGUUCGAAGUGUGUAAUGCAGUGAUAAAGUUUCCUAGAACAGCUGCCGAAAAAGAAACAAAGAAAAUUGACUUUAUGGAAAACUUCCAUUUCCCUGGAACCAUAUGCUGUAUAGACUGCACUCAUGUUGCCAUUUUGGAGCCAGCUGCAGAUGAGCAUCUAUACUUUAGCUGAAAAGGACCAUUCCAAAAAUGCAAAUAAUAUGCGAUUCAAAUUUGGUAAUACUACAUGUGAAUGCGAACUACGGAGGUGCAACCCACGAUGCAUUUAUAUGGAGAAACUCUGCUAUUAAAAAUCACCUUGUGCAGAAUUAUGAAAGAGGAGAGAGAAACAGCUGGUUGAUUGGUGAUAGUGGAUACCCUCAGGAACCGUGGCUAAUGACCCCCAAAGGGGAGUACCCCGUGAAUCACCAGAAGGGAGGUACACGGCCGCAUUGACACAAGCUAGGAAUUGUGUUGAAAGAUGUAUAGGCGUUUUAAAAAUGCGCUUUCGCUGCAUCCUAAAGGAAAGGGUUCUAAGAUAUUACCCACAUAAAGUAGGACAGAUUGUAAAUGCAGUUUGUGUUCUACACAAUAUGUGCAUAAGAGGGAACAUCGACCUUGAAGAAGACCCAGAAAUAGAGCCAGGUGAAGAAGACGAAGACUACCGGGUGAUCGGUAGCGAGCGGCCAUAUCUCAUAAGAUAUUGGUCAUAUAGAUUUGAGAAAAAAAAAAUCAUGAUAAAAGUCGCCAAGAGAAAUUGCUGGAAAUUAUUUUCGAGUUUGUCAAACGUCCGCUAGAGGGCGUAACAGCCAACACCAAGUAGAAAAAUGGGAUUUUUAUAGAAUUUUGUCUAAUGAAAGUAUAUCGGUAAUAUCAUUCUCAUAUUUACUGACCAUUUCCCUAAAUUUUUUGUCUAAAACAUUUUAUUCUAUCUAUCAAAAUAAAGCGGUGGGGCAAG